CUCUUAUAGAUUUUAUAGAAUUUGGUUUUUAGGUGAAGAAACCUAAAUGUAAUUAAAAGACAAGAAGACCCUAUCGAGCUUAAAAUAAUUUUUUUGGUAUAAUGAUAACAUCCUACUCAAAAAAAGAUUUUGGUUGGGGCGACUAAGGAACACAAAAAGCUUCCUAUAAACUAUAGCUACUAAUAAGUAUUGAUCCAAAAAAUUUGAUUAACAGAAUUAGUUACCGUAGGGAUAACAGCAUAAUCUUUUCUAAGAGUCCUUAUCGAAGAAAAGGUUUGUGACCUCGAUGUUGGACUAGGGUACCCAGACAGGUGCAGAAGCCUUCAAUGGUUGGUCUGUUCGACCA
Molecule: ribosomal RNA, 346 nt
Filed under: Pseudamnicola sp. Karpathos
Lineage: Eukaryota; Metazoa; Mollusca; Gastropoda; Littorinimorpha; Hydrobiidae
Description: partial 16S ribosomal RNA
Rfam family: Bacterial large subunit ribosomal RNA
Source: RNAcentral